RNAcentral lists this ribosomal RNA (497 nucleotides) under uncultured bacterium. Its description in RNAcentral is "partial 16S ribosomal RNA". It matches the Rfam family "Bacterial small subunit ribosomal RNA", at positions 29 to 507 of the family's 1533-position model. The record is from RNAcentral.
UAUUAACUCUUGCGGCGUGCCUAAUACAUGCAAGUCGAGCGAACAGACGAGGAGCUUGCUCCUCUGACGUUAGCGGCGGACGGGUGAGUAACACGUGGAUAACCUACCUAUAAGACUGGGAUAACUUCGGGAAACCGGAGCUAAUACCGGAUAAUAUAUUGAACCGCAUGGUUCAAUAGUGAAAGACGGUUUUGCUGUCUCUUAUAGAUGGAUCCGCGCCGCAUUAGCUAGUUGGUAAGGUAACGGCUUACCAAGGCAACGAUGCGUAGCCGACCUGAGAGGGUGAUCGGCCACACUGGAACGGGGACACGGUCCAGACUCCUACGGGAGGCAGCAGUAGGGAAUCUUCCGCAAUGGGCGAAAGCCUGACGGAGCAACGCCGCGUGAGUGAUGAAGGUCUUCGGAUCGUAAAACUCUGUUAUUAGGGAAGAACAAAUGUGUAAGUAACUAUGCACGUCUUGACGGUACCUAAUCAGAAAGCCACGGCUAACUACGUG